GGGCCCGCACAAGCGGUGGAGCAUGUGGUUUAAUUCGAUGAUACGCGAGGAACCUUACCAGGGCUUAAAUGUAAGUUGCAUGGAUCAGAGAUGGUCCUUUCUUCGGACUACUUACAAGGUGCUGCAUGGUUGUCGUCAGCUCGUGCCGUGAGGUGUCAGGUUAAGUCCUAUAACGAGCGCAACCCCUAUCGUUAGUUGCCAGCAAGUAAAGUUGGGUACUCUAGCGAGACUGCCGGUGCAAACCGAGAGGAAGGUGGGGAUGACGUCAAAUCAUCACGGCCCUUACGUCCUGGCUACACACGUGCUACAAUGGCCGGUACAGAGAGCAGCCACUACGCGAGUAGGAG
This 347-nucleotide ribosomal RNA is filed under the name uncultured bacterium. RNAcentral's name for it is "bacterial SSU rRNA". It matches the Rfam family "Bacterial small subunit ribosomal RNA", at positions 917 to 1267 of the family's 1533-position model. The record is from RNAcentral.